UUUCCUCAUCGGAUUUCAAUCAAGGCUAAGGCCAUCAAAGAUGAGAUGGAUGGAGAAACAAGCGGUUCUUCAGGACGUAGCUGGGAUCCUGGGUUGGAAAUUGAGGUCCCUUUUGAGCAGAGACCGGUAGGUGUAAACUGCCCAAUGAUAGCAAUGAGUGUUUUAUUUAGAUGAUCUUCAAAAUCAACAGAUGUAGCAGGGUAUAAUGUUAGUUCAUGAAUUUUAUGGCCGAAUCUAGCUAGUGAGUUGGAUAAGGUCAUGGGAUGGGAUUAAAAUUAAUUAUUAGUUAGCAUUAUUGUUUCAGUAAAGCUCAUUUCAUUUCUUCUGAGCUAAGUUUGCUAACCUUGACUUUGCUGUGUGAUAGGUGAAUGAGUACUCAUCUCUGAAGGAUGGAGUAUUGUACUCUUGGGGGGAACUGGGUCCGGGGUCGUUCUUCCUUCGCCUGGGAGGUCUUUGGUUGGCAGUGUUUACAGUUCUUGGAGGGCCAAUUGCGGCUGCAAGCUUUAAUCCUUCUAGAGUAAGGAAGAUAAAAUAUGUGCAUGUAAUAGGGUAUCAAAUCAAGUAAACACAAAAGAUAUUUUGAUGUAUGGACAAGGAUACCUGCCAGCUGCACACAAACAAAAACAUUUAUAAAGUGGAUAAUAAAAGUUCCUCUGACUUGCAUCAACU
RNAcentral lists this long non-coding RNA (669 nucleotides) under Vigna radiata. RNAcentral describes it as "long non-coding RNA (VRAD_LNC010868)". Lineage: Eukaryota; Viridiplantae; Streptophyta; Magnoliopsida; Fabales; Fabaceae. The record is from RNAcentral.